Molecule: non-coding RNA, 10929 nt
Organism: Podarcis lilfordi (Lilford's wall lizard)
Lineage: Eukaryota; Metazoa; Chordata; Lepidosauria; Squamata; Lacertidae
Source: the annotation of a GenBank genome assembly
GGGAUAUAAAUGCUGACCAUGCCUCUUGCUUGUCCAGAUGGAAGGUAGAAAGGCAUGUCUGCCAACUCCACAAAGGGAGAAUGUACAUUUGUUGUCCCACCCACUUUGCCUCUGACUCUGCCCACCCCGGAAGUCUGCCCAGAAAAGAAUGUGGCUGGUGUUUUGGAUCAGGUUAGCCAUAUUGAUUUGUAUGCUGUUGGUGGAUUUUUGUCAUUGUCUUGUUGGGCUGUGUAUGGGAUAAAGGGGAGCCAUACUGGGAUGAAGAUGUCUUCUUCUAUUUGUCAGUUUCAGUUUAUUGGUUAAUUUUUCUAGUAGGGCUGUUUCCCAUACUAUUUGGUACCAUUGGUCCAUGCUUACUCUUGACAGGUCUCUCCAGUGUCUGGCUAUGAUGCUUCUGGCUGCUGAAAGUAGGUGGGUUAUGAGUUCUUUGUGGUGUAAGUGGGCAUUAUUGUCUUGGAAGAUGUUUGGUAAGGCCAAUUCUGAUCCAAAACACCCACCCACCCCACUCACACAUGAAAAACAAAGACCACCACAGCCAACCACAAAUGAAUAACCACACCCUAGGCCAACCCCACCACCAAAGUAACACAAGCGAACAGCAAAGAACCUGCACAAGCAACGCUGACACCAAACCCUACAUAUAGUAAGUAAAAUAGAAACAUUGCUACCCCACCUCACCCCCACCCAUCUUCCCCCCGCUCCACCUCUUUCCCUCUUUUCUUCCUAAUGUCUCAACAAAUGAAACUGAUAUGUAAGAAUGAUACAUUGGGGGGGGGAAAUAUGAGAGAGAGACAUUGCACACACUUUUGUAAAUCAAGAAAAUCUUUUUAAAAAGAAUGCGGCCCUGAAACUGGAAAGAAGGGAUCCUUACCCCACAGAUAUAUAGAACAGCAGCAGACAAGCCCCUUUUAAUUGCCUGCUGGCCUGCAGAGAAGGGAGCAGCAACCACUGCAAGUGAGGGGGAGACCAUCCCCUCUGUUAUUUCCCUGCUGUUAUAUAUCUACAUUCAUGUUGUAACUUCCCGCUCUUGGAUAAUUAGCCAAUAUCUAUAUUUAUAUCAAAGCCACAUGUGUUGUAGAGAACAGCCAACGUUCCUCUUUAGAGAAUGCCUGGCAGGCUAUAAAUAGCCCCCAUCUGUAAUUAUCUCCAGAACGAUUUGUUAUAAUGGGGAGGGGGGAGGGCUGGGAGAGCAAGGACAUCAACAGGGGAAGGAAAUUCAAGGCGGCUCAUUCAAGUGGGAAGUUCAGCUCGGCAUUAAAAAAAGAAAAAGAAAAUCCCUCAUCUGGUCCUAUCAGGGGCAACCGACUCAACUUGACACUGAAAUAGUUGAGGUUGGGUGGAGGAGGGAAUCUGACUUGACUGGCUACGUGCCUCUGAGCAUAUCCAAAGUGCCCCACCCUCCCCGUUUCUUGUGCAAGUUCAGGACCUCCGUUUGCAUAGGCAUUUUGGGUUGCCAGGUCAGGAGCAAACCAGCCCCAAAGAUUUCAGGGACCAAAUCUGAGUCCUGGGAUGGUGGUGGCCUGCAGUGCUGUUAUGGGGUCAGGCCUUGGAGACGGAGGUUAAUGGGAGACUGGAGUGGAAGCGGGCAGCCACUGCCCCCCCUCCCCACAAAGAGUGUCUAUGCUAUAUUUUGAGACCAGCUCCUGCUAGAUUUUGAAGUUUUGAAGUUGCUUGCAGAGUCUUCAUAAAAAUUGUUGUUAUUAUAAUUAUUUAAGGCACUCUAGUCUGCCUGGAUUGUAUGGAAGUGAGAGCUGGACCAUAAAGAAGGCUGAUCGCCAAAGAAUUGAUGCUUUUGAAUUAUGGUGCUGGAGGAGACUCUUGAGAGUCCCAUGGACUGCAAGAAGAUCAAACCUAUCCAUUCUUAAGGAAAUCAGCCCUGAGUGCUCACUGGAAGGACAGAUCCUGAAGCUGAGGCUCCAAUACUUUGGCCACCUCAUGAGAAGAGAAGACUCCCUUGAAAACCCUGAUGCUGGGAAAGAUUGAGGGCACAAGGAGAAGGAGACGACAGAGGACGAGAUGAUUGGACAGUGUUCUCGAAGCUACCAGCAUGAGUCUGACCAAACUGCGGGAGGCAGUGGAAGACAGGAGUGCCUGGUGUGUUCUGGUCCAUGGGGUCACGAAGAGUUGGACAUGACUAAACAACAAGUCCACCUGGAAUUUCAGGCCCUCCGCCAGCCACCUGGAGUGGGCCAGGCAAACCUGGGGACUUCAGAUGAGACUUGGAGGUCUGGCAUAAACUUCUACCUGCUACAUGCCGGAUGAAUGACUGGCGGUGGCUGUGGCUGUGGCCUUCAGACCCUGCUUGUGGCUUCCUGGAGGUAUUUAGAGUCAGAAUUGAGGAGUUGGAAAGAACUCAAAGGGUCGUCUAGUCCAACCUCCUCGAAUGCAGGAAUCAAAACUAAUUUGGCUGAACUUUGCUUUUAAAAAUGAACGAACGAACAGCAGGACAGUGAGCAAGAGACGCCUUUAGCCUCCUAGAUCCUGCCAGUUCUUAACUCCACGGUGGAAAACUCCUUACCCUCCAACAUUUCUCCAAUGAAAAUAGGGACAUCCUAAGGAAAAGUAGGACAUUCUGGGAUCAGAUCAGAAACUGGGACAGCUUCUGUAAAUCCAGGCUUGUCCCUGGAAAAUAGGGGCACUUACAGUGGCGGAGCUUCAUGCUCCACCACCGGGGGGCGGAGAGCAGGUGGGGGCAGGGCUGGCACGCACCCCGGGGCAUGUUGCACCCCCUGUAGGGACGUAGCUUGCGUCCUGGGGGUGUGACUUGUGUCCUGGGGGCGUGGCACCCAGCGCGGGCAGGGGUGUCAGCCGCGAUGGCAGCCAGCCGGGAUCAUGCUGCCGGGGGCGGUGCGCUCCCCCCGCAUGCCUCUUCCUCUGCCAGUGGGCACUUAGAAUGUCUGCAAAUACAACGCAGAAAUUAACAGUCAGGGAAAUGGGGUAAACUGCCUUGUGACUGCAGCCGAAGAAUAAUUGGAAGAAGGCAACGGUGUAUCUGAUGAGCGCAUGCCAGCAGACUCCAUUUCUUUCACGUUGUGGGGGUGAGGAGAGCUGUCCCAGGGUUCAUUUCCAUGGUAAUAACAGCAUCCUGAGAAACCUCUCUGCCUUUCCCCACAUAGCUACACAGAGCAUUGUCUUUAACUGCCUGAGAUUGCUAUCUCUCCCUUUGAUUUUAUCAGCUCUUCUCAUCGGGAAAAGGAAACAAAGAGGCAGGGGCAGGCCUCUCUGAAUUUCCUAUGCUAAAUUAUGCUAAAAGGAGCUGUUCCAAAAGGAACCCUGGCAGAGCCUGGAUAGAAAAGCAAACUGGAUCAGACCAAAGGCCCAUCCAGCAUGGGGGGAGGAGUGUCAUCCCCCCCCUCCAGCAAAGUGGGAGGGUGGGGCUUGCAAGCACCUCUCAAAAGGAUGCAUCUGUUUCCAAUGCCUGGCUUCCACAGGUAGACUGCUGCUGGAUAUGGAGAUUCCACUGUAGCUAAAGAAGACGACGACCUGACCUGUACCCUGUGAUCGUCCCCUGAGGCCCUUCUUUGUGCGCCUCCUCCAUGGGAGGUCCAGAGGGUGGCAAUACAAGGAUGGGCCUUUUCAGUGAUGGCUCCCUACUUGUGGAAUGCUCUCCCCUGUUACAUAACUUUCGGCACCACGGCAAAACAUUUUGCUGUUUCAUCAUGCCUUUAGCUUUUAAUUAUAUAUGGUCUUUUUGUGUGGGCAGGAUGUUUUAACCUGGGGUUUAAAAAUUUUUUUUAAAAAAAAAUAUACAUAUAUCUUUGAGAUUGGUUUUUAAUGCUGGUUUUAAUGUAUUUUUGUUUGUCUGAAGCAUUGUAAAAUGCUUUGAGCUGCCCAAAACCAACUAACAAAUUUGUUUGUUUGGUCCGUAACAUUUAUACGCCACUUGAUAGAAAAACAAACAAAACAAACCUCAAAGCGGUUUUUCCAAAAAGAUGCAACAAUAGAAUUAUCACUAAGAAAAAUUAACAAUAAUUUUAAAAUUUUGAAAAGUUAAGAGCAGUAGGCUAAAAAAUUAUUAUUAUUAUUAUUAUUAUUAUUAUUAUUAUUAUUAUUUUAUUGUUUCUACCCCGCCCAUCCAGCUUGGUGUCCCCAGCCACUCUGGGCGGCUGCCAACAGAUUAAAAACAGAACAAAACAUCACACAUUAAAAACUUCCCUAAACAGGGCUGCUGUCCCGGCUGAGGACGUUGGGACCGGGGGUAAGAUGGCAGGGUGGGAGCUGGAAUGAGAGUCCAGAAGCCAGAGGUCCAAGGGUCAGGAAGCAGGGAGUCACGAAGUCAAGGGUCCGAGGGUCGAGAAGCAAGGAGUUAAGAAGCAGAGGUCUGAGGAUCAGUAAGCAAGAAGCCAAACGCAGCAAGGCAUGAAACAAGCUGCUGUGGCAAAGAGCCGAAGGGAAGUGCUGACCUUAUAUCCCUUCCCAGCUCUUGCCACCAGGUGCAGCGAGUUACCAAGCGGCCUCACCUAUGCGGCCGCGCCUUGCCUCUCCAGAACAAACUUAGGAAGGGCCCAGUCCUGCGAAGCCCUACUGGUCACAGGGUCCGGCUCCUUCACGCACUCCUGACAGCUGCCUUCAGAUAUCUUCUAAAAGUCAGAUCAUUGUUUAUUUCCUUGACAUCUGGUGGGAGGGCGUCCCACAGGGCAGGCGCCACUACCAAGAAGGCCCUCUGCCUGGUUCCCUGUAACCUCACUUCUCACAGUGAGGAAACUGCCAGAAGGCCCUUGGCGCUGGACCUCAGUGUCCGGGCUAAACGAUGGGGGUGGAGACGCUCCUUCAGGUGUACUGUGCCGAGGCCGUUUAGGGCUUUAAAGGUCAGCACCAACACUUUGAAUUGUGCUUGGAAACGUACUGGGAGCCAAUGUAGGUCUUUCAGGACCAGUAUUAUAUGGUCUCGGCAGCCACUCCCAGUCACCAGUCUAGCUGCUGCAUUCUGGAUUAGUUGCAGUUUCCGCAUCACCUUCAAAGGUAGCCCCAUGUAGAGUUAUCUCCAAGAGGGAGACAACUAGAGCAUGCACCACUCCGGUGAGACAGUCUGCGGGCAGAAGGGGUCUCAGCCGGCGUACCAGAUGGAGCUGGUAGACAGCUGCCCUGGACCAGAGGUGAAGCAACCUGCUCCGGUACCCAGAACUCAGUACAUAACAGUGGUACUCGUCCCAGGGGCGUGACACAUGUCCCGGGAGCCAUGGUGCAUGCCUGGGGGGGUGCCACCAAUCAGGGGUCGGCAUUUUGUCACACCCCCCCCCCCGUUGGAAUGGUACCCAGGGCAGACUGCUCCCUGCCCCCCUUGGAACAUCCCUGCCCUGGACACAGAAUUGACCUGCACCUCCAUGGAUAGCUGUGAGUCCAAAAUGACUCCCAGGCUGCGAGAUUAAAACUCACAUCAACUUUCUAAACAUCUAGGUAGGCUUGUUUAAACAGAUAUGUUUCUCUUGGGUGUCAAAAGGAGUACAGGCAUUGUCCGACCAAAGCAAAAUAGAGCAGUACUAAGAUUUACUUUGACCUGAGCAGUAUACUUCUGUUGAUGCAGCCUAGAGUAGCAUUAGCGGUUUUUGCUGCUGCAUCACAUUGUUGACCCGUGUUUAGCUUGUGGUCUACUAAGACUACCAGAUCCUUUCCACAUGUAUUACUGACAACCCAGGCGUCCCCCAUCUUAUAUUUGUGCAGCUUGUUCUUCCUGCCUAAGUGCAGAACCUGCCAUUUGUCCCUAGUGAAAUUCAUUUUGUUAGUUUUGGCCCAGUUUGGGUCCAAUCUGUUAAGUUCAUCUUGGAUCCCGAUUCUGUCUUCUGCGGCAUUAGUUACCCCUCCCAGUUUGAUGUCAUCUGCAAAUUGGAUGACAAGGUACUCCAAAACUAGGGUUGCCAUAUCUUCUCUUUUUCCAGGACACGUCCUCUUUUUCAUGAGUCAUCACAGCAAUCCAUAGUUAAAAGCAGAAGUUGGCAAAUGUGUCCUCUUUUUUGCUCUUCAAAAUAUGGCAACCCGACCCCACUCAGCGGUUUCAUGUAGUGUUAAAAAGCAUGCGGGAUAUAACCGAGCCCUGAGGAAAAUGCCACUCCCCCCCCCCCCCCAUUGAAGGCGCCAACAUCAACACUCAGAGCCUGAUCAUCAGCAAUGGAAGGAAAGGUCGGAUCUCGUGGAGACCAAAUGCUGUGUAUAUAAAUAAGGAAUAUGAUGAAACUAAUGCACUCCCAGCAAUUCACUGCCUCUGUAAACAAGAUUUGUUUGCUCCGGAUAAUAACCGCCCAGUUCACCAUUCCUGGGCUUGCACCACCUCCCUCCCUAGAUCAUGUAAACAAGCUUGUUUGAAAUCCAUUUCUGUGGUCUGCUAUCAGCUAACGUUCUCCUCCUUUGCCUUGGGUGAUUUUAUCCCCCCCUCCCCCGCCUUUCCAGUCAUCUAGGGUGUUUUCAAAAUAAAAAUUAAAAAAGCGUAAGCUUUCGCCAGGGGUCUGUCUUAUUUAAUCUUGUAACACUUCCUGUACAUUGCAGACAUUAUAUAAAUAAUGAAUAAGAAGAAGCAGUUACACAGUGGUGGAGAUUUUUUUAUUUUGUACUAAAAAAAAAACUUGUAGGCAGAACGAGAUUCGAUAAAUGGGAGGGGAACUUAGAGGGAAGAAUCGCUCCCCCCAGUACACACACACACACACACACCUCCACAACCCGUGCUAGAAGUCAAGAAAUGAAAAAUAGGUCAGGUGUUUUAAUAUCUGCAUUAGUUCAGAAUAAAUCAUGACCCUCCUUUUUAUUUUUUUAUUUUUUAGAAAAAUGCAAGGGAUGAAGUGAAAUUCUGCACUCCCUGAGCCGAUAUACAAACUGAAAUGCAGCGAACUUAAUUGCUGUUAUCCGAAUUUUAUGGUGCCGUUCUCCAAACGAAAGCAUUCUUUAAAAAAUGCGUAAGUAUAGAUAUAGAUCUCUUCCAUCUAUAACUAUUGAAUUAUAAUAGGGGGAUUGCUUGCAAAAAUUUCACAGAUUAGGCAAAUUUACAUCCAAUAAUGUGCAUAUUAGAAGAAAUGCACACAAAUUUAAUUCAGUCAUAUAAAUAUAUAUGACUGCACUAAAAAUAUAUAUCACAGCUAACGGCACAAACAGGGGGAGGAGGAAAGACUCUACAAAAAUGCUGUCCCUUAAUCCAUGCUCUGACGAAGGAGCAAAAUGAGCAGGCAAUAUCAUGAAGUAUAUUGACAGUUCAUGAAGUUAUGCCAAGUUUCCUUUCUAAGCUGGGAAUCACGGGGCAUGUAUUUGAAAUGGCAGCCAGAUGUUCAGAGGCUUAGUAAGGGCAGAUGGCCAGUCAGUGGCGCCAUUCCAACUGCCCAUUGGCUUUUUGCCUGCAGCCUGACACAACAGAACAUUCAGUCAGUUAGUAAGACUCAUAGGGUAGGAGGAAGUUAGAGAUAUGCGAUGUUCUCCCAGAAUUUAGGUCAGCCAUGUGGUCCUGCUGCCUGCAGCAGAAACAACACAAAGAGUUUUGUGGUUUCUUAAGGACUAGCAUAUUUAUUUGGUCAUACUUCAUAAAUCAGAGCCCACUUUUGCUUAUUCUGCAAAGGGGUGAAUCCAGGGCAACUUCUCCAGGAGUAGCAGAAGAAUAGAUAGAUAGAGAGAUAUAGAUAGAUAGAUGAUAGAUAGAUAGAUAGAUGAUAGAUAGAUAGAUGAUAGAUAGAUCGAUAGAUAGAUAGAUAUAGAUAGAUGAUAGAUAGAUAGAUGAUAGAUAGAUAGAUAGAUAGAUAGAUAGAUAGAUGAUAGAUAGAUAGAUAGAUAGAUAGAUAGAUAGAUAGAUGAUAGAUAGAUAGAUGAUAGAUAGAUGAUAGAUAGAUAUUGUGGACAGACAUGUACCUAUAAAAGAUAUGUUUAACAUGCAUGAAUUGUUAUAGGGAGGUUUGCAUUUGCAGAAUUCCUGUUUUGCCGAGAACUGUGGCAAGUGCAGAAGGUGCUCGUGCAACUAAAGCUGCGAAAAGGAGAGCGGAGACUUUUGCUUCAAUGUUAUGUUAAUUGAUGACUCAUCCCUGGGAGUCCAGGUCUCUCUCAGAAGCUGCCAGAUUCUUACUUAUCUGACUUAACUGAAUCUCACCCUGGGACCAGAAAGAGAACUGUUCAUGGACUACAUUAACAAGUGAGAACUUAAAGAAAACCUAGCUGCUUUGCUAGUUGUUUAAGAGCAAUGGGCCGAUUUGUAUUUACAACAGGUUUGUGUAACAAGUUUAAAGACAGUCUGUGGCAAAAGUUUGGAACUCGUUCUUGGCGUGGAGAGUUUGUGGAUUCAUACUCGGCACUAGGCCCAGAUCAGGGAAUUCCACUCAUGUGGCGCUGUGGGUUAAAUCACAGAGCCUAGGACUUGCUGAUCAGAAGUUCGGCAGUUUGAAUCCCCGCGACGGGGUGAGCUCCUGUUGCUCAGUCCCUGCUCCUGCCAACCUAGCAGUUCGAAAGCACGUCAAAGUAGAUAAAUAGGUUCCGUUCCGGCGGGAAGGUAAAUGGCGUUUCUGUGCGCUGCUCUGGUUCGCCAGAAGCAGCUUAGUCAUGCUGGCCACAUGACCCGGAAGCUGUUCGCCGGCUCCCUCGGCCAAUAAAGCGAGAUGAGCACCGCAACCCCAGAGUCGGUCACGACUAGACCUAAUGGUCAGGGGUCCCUUUACCUUUACCUUUAACAGUACGUGGCCCUCUGGGUUUAGUUGAACUCCAAUUCCCACCCACCCCUGCCAUGCUGAUGGGAGCUGAUGGAACUGCCUGGGGCUGGUGGAAGUUGGAGUCUGACAACAUAGAGGGUGACUUGUUUCCCACACACCCGGCAGAGGCAGCUGCAGUACAGUAGAAUAUAGUAGGCUGCAUAUCGCAAGAUGAGCAUUGGAAGGCUGUAGGUUGCCUUGCGAAGCGUUUCACCCAGUGGCUUGAAAUGCACCCGGCCCGUUGUAAAUCAGUCCUAAGUGCAAGACCUCAGAGAGGCCAGGGGACGCUGGUCCAUUAGGGCAGAUGGAUUGAUGCCUCAUCAGCCUCAGUCUGCUCUCAGACGCCUGCUUGCCUUUUUAUUUACAAUAUGUCCAGGGGGGGGGUGUAGCUCUGCUUGUCAGCUUCCUCUUGCUCAGGGCUCAUCCUGAUUGCUUUUUGCACUGUCUUUCUAGGCACAGCCCCACACUUAAAAGUGCUGUGUUCGAGUCCCCCCCUCCUGCAAAAACCCACUCUUUACCACUGAUUGAGAACAAACAGCAAUCCAUGGAAAACCCAAAUUUCUGCUUGUUCUGAUUCAGCAUUAAAGAGCAGGUUUUCACCAAGAAAGUACUGACCCGCCUCCAAAAAAUGGUGUUUGGACAUGCACUUUAAAGCACCAACUUAUGCCUAGAAAGUGAGGGAUAAAAGGUGAGUGUGGAUGAGCCCUCGCUUUCAGUAUUGCCCUUGCAGAAGUGGGCAGGGAUGAGGAUGGAGGAAAAAUGAGUCAGCUUUGCCUGUUUUUGGUUAAACCACAGAGCCUAGGACUUGCUGAUUAGAAGGUCGGUGGUUCGAAUCCCCGCGACGGGGUGAGCUCCCAUUGCUCGGUCCCUGCUCCUGCCAACCUAGCAGUUCGAAAGCACAUCAAAGUGCAAGUAGAUCAAUAGGUACCGCUCUGGCGGGAAGGUAAACGGCGUUUCCGUGCGCUGCUCUGGUUUGCCAGAAGCGGCUUAGUCAUGCUGGCCACAUGACCUGGAAGCUGUACGCCAGCUUCCAUGGCCAAUAAAGUGAGAUGAGUGCUGCAACCCCAGAGUCAGACACGACUGGACCUAAUGAUCAGGGGCCCCUUUACCUUUACCUUACCCCCUACUGUUGGGCUCUCUGCCUUCCACCCUACCAGUUCCAAUGGGCAGCAGCUACCACUGGGCAUAGGAGAUCAGCCACACUCGACGAUGAUGCUCGCUUCGUGACCUUUGGCCAGGCAGGACCUUCUCUUAGCAGGAGCUGCUACCCAGUUUCCCAUUCAUCCAUCUGCCCAGCCCACCCUCACUGCCACAAGCCAGCAAACAUCCUGUGCCCACUGAGCAUGCUCAGCCCUCAAUUGGGGGGUGUUUUGGUCAGGGAGGGGAAUGCUCUCUUCGAUCUUUUUUGUCUUACUGCAAACCUCAGCUUCUAUUUCUGCAAACCUGACGCAUCUGCCUUAUGUAUGGGUGGUGGUGUUUUGGCUACUUAAAGACCGGCACUGGGAGAAUUGAGGAUGUGAUUAGUAAAUAUGAUGGCAGUCAUUUUUUCUAAUAGGCAGCAGUAGUUUUUUUGGUUAUUAAACAGUAAACGUUCUCGCCCUUCUGUCGAUAUCUCAAAAGGGCAUCUUCAGUUGACGUUUUUGGAGACAUGCAGAUUUGUUUCAAUGUAAUUGCUUUGCCACUAAAUCAAUUGGUUAAAAGUCUAAUUAAAUCUGGGGGGGGGGCAGGGAUGGACGGACCCAAAAGCCCCACAGAAGAUGCAUUUGCUGCUGUGUUCUGCAGGAUUUCCCUUGCUUUGAGGUUUUAAAAGGGAGAGGUUCGCCUAUGGAAUGGGUUUGCCUAACGGGAAUAAAUCUAUGCUUUAUAUAAUCUUCAUUUUAAUGGUCGUGAUAUCUAAGUGCAUGUCUUCCCCCGGUGCCAAUAAAAAAUGAUUUACAAAUUCUCUGUACCUUGGUUGGCUUCUAAACAGCAAGAUCAUGCUACGGAUGCGUGUUAAGAAGAAGAAAAAUGAGCAUAAUAUGGCCUAUCAGGUGGUUUCUCUUUUUACUCGUGACUGCAGAAUUGGGAGGAGAGAAACAGAUAGAUGGGGAGGCAGAGAUGAGGGAUGGAUUCUCAUAAACAUACGGCCCAAAGGUUAAGCUAAAGCAAGGGUGGAAAACUCUGAGGGCCACAGUCCCUUCUGGGUAGCCUUCCAGGGGCCACAUGCCAGACUGGAGGACAGGGCCAAAGGCAAAACUGGACAAAGUAAUGGAUGCCAAUUUUUACCUCUAAAGGGACCCCU